Molecule: unclassified non-coding RNA, 335 nt
Filed under: soil metagenome
Description: partial contains 5.8S ribosomal RNA, internal transcribed spacer 2, and large subunit ribosomal RNA
Rfam family: 5.8S ribosomal RNA (bases 1-120)
Source: RNAcentral
GAUGAAGAACGUAGUGAAAUGCGAUAAGUAAUGUGAAUUGCAGAAUUCAGUGAAUCAUCGAAUCUUUGAACGCACAUUGCGCCCGCCAGUAUUCUGGCGGGCAUGCCUGUUCGAGCGUCAUUUCAACCAUCAAGCCCCCGGCUUGUGUUGGGGACCUGCGGCUGCCGCAGGCCCUGAAAACCAGUGGCGGGCUCGCUAGUCACUCCGAGCGUAGUAAUACAUCUCGCUCAGGGCGUGCUGCGGGUUCCGGCCGUUAAAAAGCCUUACUUACCCAAGGUUGACCUCGGAUCAGGUAGGAAGACCCGCUGAACUUAAGCAUAUCAAUAAGCGGAGGA